GAUGAACGCUGGCGGCGUGCCUAACACGUGCAAGUCGAGCGUGAUUUAUGAGGACGAAACUUCGGUCUAGGAAUCAUAAUGAAAGCGGCGGACGGGUGAGUAACGCGUAGGCAACCUGCCCUUGACACAGGGAUAGCCUCGGGAAACCGGGAUUAAAACCUGAUGACGCCAAACAGUAACAUGGCUGUUUGGCCAAAGAUUUAUCGGUCAAGGAUGGGCCUGCGUCUGAUUAGUUAGUUGGUGGGGUAACGGCCUACCAAGACGACGAUCAGUAGCCGACCUGCGAGGGUGAUCGGCCACAUUGGAACUGAGACACGGUCCAAACUCCUGCGGGAGGCAGCAGUGGGGAAUAUUGCACAAUGGGCGAAAGCCUGAUGCAGCAACGCCGCGUGAGCGAUGAAGGCCUCUGGGUCGUAAAGCUCUGUCCUUGGUGAAGAAACAAAUGACGGUACCCAAGGAGGAAGCCCCGGCUAACUACGUGCCAGCCGCCGCGGUAA
This 497-nucleotide ribosomal RNA is filed under the name uncultured bacterium. RNAcentral describes it as "partial 16S ribosomal RNA". It matches the Rfam family "Bacterial small subunit ribosomal RNA", at positions 28 to 523 of the family's 1533-position model. The record is from RNAcentral.